Molecule: ribosomal RNA, 238 nt
Filed under: uncultured bacterium
Lineage: Bacteria
Description: partial 16S ribosomal RNA
Rfam family: Bacterial small subunit ribosomal RNA
Source: RNAcentral
GAUCCUGCUCAGGAUGAACGCUGGCGGCGUGCUUAACACAUGCAAGUCGAGCGAAGCAGUUUCAAUGAAGUUUUCGGAUGGAUUUGAAAUUGACUUAGCGGCGGACGGGUGAGUAACGCGUGGGUAACCUGCCUUACACUGGGGGAUAACAGUUAGAAAUGACUGCUAAUACCGCAUAAGCGCACAGGGCCGCAUGGCCUGGUGUGAAAAACUCCGGUGGUGUAAGAUGGACCCGCGU